CAUAUAAGUUCUCACUUCUCCUUAAAUCCCGGAUAAUCCUAAUCAGAGAGAGGAAGUAAUGUGAUUGAGAUUCAAUUGUAAACAUUGUUCCCUAAUGUGUAAUUAAAUCAAGAAAUCAAUUUUUUAACCACUUUGAAUUGUUAAAAUUAUUUUUUUACAAUUUUUUUAUGCUGCAGGUAUGAAAAUUCCUCCACAAAUAUGCAUUAAAAACCAAAUAUGUGUAGAUACUUCUAAAGUUUUUU
RNAcentral lists this long non-coding RNA (242 nucleotides) under Lathyrus oleraceus (garden pea). Its description in RNAcentral is "Pisum sativum (pea) long non-coding RNA (PSAT_LNC016480)". The record is from RNAcentral. Lineage: Eukaryota; Viridiplantae; Streptophyta; Magnoliopsida; Fabales; Fabaceae.